GUCCCCGUGGUGUAGCGGCAGCAUGGCAGGUUCUCACCCUGUCGGUAGGGGUUCAACUCCCCUCGGGGGUA
Molecule: transfer RNA, 71 nt
Filed under: Streptomyces spectabilis
Lineage: Bacteria; Bacillati; Actinomycetota; Actinomycetes; Kitasatosporales; Streptomycetaceae
Description: tRNA-Glu
Rfam family: tRNA
About the family: Transfer RNA (tRNA) molecules are approximately 80 nucleotides in length. Their secondary structure includes four short double-helical elements and three loops (D, anti-codon, and T loops). Further hydrogen bonds mediate the characteristic L-shaped molecular structure. tRNAs have two regions of fundamental functional importance: the anti-codon, which is responsible for specific mRNA codon recognition, and the 3' end, to which the tRNAs corresponding amino acid is attached (by aminoacyl-tRNA synthetases). tRNAs cope with the degeneracy of the genetic code in two manners: having more than one tRNA (with a specific anti-codon) for a particular amino acid; and 'wobble' base-pairing, i.e. permitting non-standard base-pairing at the 3rd anti-codon position.
Source: RNAcentral